Molecule: long non-coding RNA, 1451 nt
Filed under: Taeniopygia guttata (zebra finch)
Lineage: Eukaryota; Metazoa; Chordata; Aves; Passeriformes; Estrildidae
Description: lncRNA (ENSTGUG00000026204.1)
Source: RNAcentral
AUGAUCUACAUUGCAGCUGGCCUGGGUCUGCCUCUUCUUCCUGUGUGUUGUUUCUGCCCGUGGCGCUCACCUACACCAGAAUAUGGAUUUGGCAGGUGUAAACACUUCCCAGGUUUAUCACCUCUGGUUUCUGGACAUGGGCAUUUGUUUUGGGAAACAGGUGGAAGAGCAGCAUUCUGCCAGGGCUUUUUGGUUUACUCCUGCAGAUAGAUUAUGCAAACAUGUUCAGCAUAUGGAGCAGAACAGAUCCAAACUCUGAUCAAUCAAAUGCAAAGUGCCUUCAUGUGCUGCUGCUUCAGAGUGUGAACUCCCAGAGCAGGCAAUGCACUGAACUGUAUCAUGGACUGAGAGUAUGAAUACACACAGGUAGUCUUGGAAAAAUGGUUCAUCAGUAAGUAUACACUGGAGUUGGCAGGCAAGCGCAUUUUACAAAUGCUUGUUUCAUAAAUAUUUAUUUUAAGAAUUGAAUUUUGGGAGUUUUCAGACAAAAGAAGCCAUGAAACAGUGAAAAGAAACUUAAAGAUUGAAAUUCUUGUGUGUGUGAUUUUUUUUUUUUUUUUUUUUGCUUUAUAUUCCUUAUCACCUCUUUUCUUCUUUUUCAUUUUGAAAGAACUGAAGAAACUAAAGUCUACAAAAACCAGUCUCAGGCAGAAUGCAGAGCCAGUGCCAGGUACCCAGAAGAAUGAGUCAGUAAUAAAGAAACCUACAGCUUGUAACCAAAAUGCCUCAAGCUGUUUGCAUUAAGUUAUCUUGAAUAAACUAUGUGUUAUGUAUUUCCUGAAGAGCAUGACCAAAAACUCACUGAGACACGGAUCUCCAAGGAGGCUAUGGCUAAAAGCCUGACUAAAAUUUUAUGUGUCUUUUUGGUGCAUAUCCCAAAGGAUGUUUGUUUGUUUUUACUCGUUUCUUACUCAUGAAAAAAAAAACCAACAACCCAGUGAGCUUAAGUAGGGUUUAAAAUACAGGAUUCAUUUUUCAUUUGUUAGAGAGCAUUUCCUCUAGACUGUAGACAAAUUAUUUCCCAGCACAGAAAAACCUGCAUUGAUGUGGUCAAGAUUUAAAAUUCAGUAAUGUACUUCCUCUACUGGGGAUGUUCUGAAUUUCUUCAGUGCAGUGAAUCAUUCUGGUGGUGGAACCAAACUCAACUUACUUAUGUUGAAUGGCAAAAGAACAACAAAAACUUUCACAAAUUUGAAAAUAUCACUGAAAAAGAAUAAAAGCACAAUUGUCUUCAGCCAUUAUGGGCUGCCCUAAUUUGAAUCACAUGGGAAAAUGCUUUGUUAAUUGCUUUCUUCCUUUACUCUUCAUUGGCAAAAAACCAAACCAAACCAUUUUCUUUGUUCUUUUCCUUUAGCAUUGCCUUUCCAUCUGGUUUUAGAAGAAGCUGGUCCUGUGGGUUAGCAAAGAUUUUUAAGUACUAGAGAUCUGGGGUAAUUUCUACAGAUGUCCAC